AACGAACGCUGGCGGCGUGCCUAACACAUGCAAGUCGUGCGAGAAAGUUCCUUCGGGAGCGAGUAAAGCGGCGCACGGGUGAGUAACACGUAGGUAACCUGCCCCCCAGUCUGGAACAACUAGAGGAAACUCUAGCUAAUGCCGGAUGAGACCACGAUCCCUUCGGGGUUGCGGCCAAAGAUGGCCUCUACUUGUAAGCUAUCGCUGAGGGAUGGGCCUGCGGGCCAUUAGCUUGUUGGUGAGGUAACGGCUCACCAAGGCUGUGAUGGCUAGCUGGUCUGAGAGGAUGACCAGCCACACUGGGACUGAGACACGGCCCAGACUCCUACGGAGCAGCAGUGGGAAUAUUGCGCAAUGGCGAAGCCUGACGCAGCGACGCCGCGUGGGUGAUGAAGGCCUCGGUCGUAAGCC
RNAcentral lists this ribosomal RNA (411 nucleotides) under uncultured bacterium. Its description in RNAcentral is "bacterial SSU rRNA". It matches the Rfam family "Bacterial small subunit ribosomal RNA", at positions 29 to 432 of the family's 1533-position model. The record is from RNAcentral.